GUUUUCUUAUGUUGAGCGAUGAUGAGGCAGAAAGAAGAGUAAGAGAAGCUGAGAGGCGCGUUCAGAGCCGCGCGCAGGGCGAGUUUGACUGCGAGGCGUUAUGAGCGGCUACGCCGCGAGACUCCCGCCCUUCACGAAGUAGAGCCAAUCAGCGUGCUGGCUACGCCGCGAGCGGGAACCCACCCCCCUCUUUGUGCCCGAAUUCGGACGUUUUUUGCGUUUUUGAGCCAAAAACGCCACGAACUGUUGAUUUUAUCAGAUUUUAUAGAGAUUUUAAACGUUUUUCACUGCAGUUUGACCUUCAGUUUCAAACACCGAGGCUCCAGAGCGCAGCGCCGCCGAGCGGCUGACGGGCCUUCGCUGCAGCUUCGAAGCUAAAAGCUAAAGCUCGCGGUUUUCUCCUCAGAGCUGCGCACCUGAGCCGCUGAGACAGUGGCUCUACUUCGAGAGCCAUGGCGUCUGAAGAUAUUACAGGCAACAGACACGACAGCUGAUUGUCAACUUCAAUCAAGUACGUUAAGAUUUCCUACCUGGAGGUGAGGGUGUGUUUUAUAGGACUCCGCCGCCGCCAACGCUGCCUCCGCCGCCGGCGCACAUGCUGAGCUGAUGAGGUUUUCUCGUUCCUGAGUGUCCAAAUUUUGUCCAUGGAAGCGUCCACAGCCCUGUCCUUUCAAAGAGAGCUUCGGCAAGUGUCCAGAGAACUGUUAAAGUUGCACUGUGUAAGAUCUGAGGACGUCUCUGGUGGACGUGUGUAACUGCAUGCAGUGUACAGAACAUCUUUCUGCAGCGCAUGUGGUGCUUCAGACCCCCAAAGGCAGAUUCAUCUGACUACUGGAAGAGAAUUCGGAGGGAAGUCGAAGACUAAACCGGGUGAAGCAGCGUCUCUGAGGAUUUUUUAGGCGUAAAGGCUCGGUAUAAACCGCUGCGUAAAGGCGUCGUACCUGCGUGCGAGCGUGGAGGACCCGAUGUUGUCGGGGCUGCGGAUGGUCUUGCUGAGGGCGCUGUGGAUCUGGGCGAAGCUGGG
This is a long non-coding RNA of Pygocentrus nattereri (red-bellied piranha), 1024 nucleotides long. RefSeq lists it as uncharacterized. The record is from RefSeq and is a predicted model, not a curated record. The transcript is spliced from 7 exons. Lineage: Eukaryota; Metazoa; Chordata; Actinopteri; Characiformes; Serrasalmidae.